GACGAACGCUGGCGGCGUGCUUAACACAUGCAAGUCGAACGGAAAGGCCCUGCUUUUGUGGGGUGCUCGAGUGGCGAACGGGUGGGUAACACGUGAGUAGCCUGCCCUUGACUUUGGGAUAACUUCAGGAAACUGGGGCUAAUACCGGAUAGGAGCUCCUGCUGCAUGGUGGGGGUUGGAAAGUUUCGGCGGUUGGGGAUGGACUCGCGGCUUAUCAGCUUGUUGGUGGGGUAGUGGCUUACCAAGGCUUUGACGGGUAGCCGGCCUGAGAGGGUGACCGGCCACAUUGGGACUGAGAUACGGCCCAGACUCCUACGGGAGGCAGCAGUGGGGAAUAUUGCACAAUGGGCGGAAGCCUGAUGCAGCAACGCCGCGUGCGGGAUGACGGCCUUCGGGUUGUAAACCGCUUUCGCCUGUGACGAAGCGUGAGUGACGGUAAUGGGUAAAGAAGCACCGGCUAACUACGU
Molecule: ribosomal RNA, 467 nt
Filed under: uncultured bacterium
Lineage: Bacteria
Description: partial 16S ribosomal RNA
Rfam family: Bacterial small subunit ribosomal RNA
Source: RNAcentral